RNAcentral lists this ribosomal RNA (253 nucleotides) under uncultured bacterium. Its description in RNAcentral is "partial 16S ribosomal RNA". It matches the Rfam family "Bacterial small subunit ribosomal RNA", at positions 524 to 776 of the family's 1533-position model. The record is from RNAcentral.
UACGUAGGGUGCGAGCGUUGCCCGGAUUUAUUGGGCGUAAAGGGCGCGUAGGCGGCCACGCACGUCCGUUGUGAAAUCGCCCGGCUCAACUGGGCGGGGUCAGCGGAUACGGUGUGGCUAGGGCAAGCUAGGGGGCAAUGGAAUUCCCGGUGUAGUGGUGGAAUGCGUAGAUAUCGGGAGGAACACCAGUGGCGAAGGCGGUUGCCUGGAGCUUUGCUGACGCUGAUGCGCGAAAGCGUGGGGAGCGAUCCGG